This is a non-coding RNA of Camelina sativa (false flax), 1089 nucleotides long. NCBI's taxonomy places the organism in Eukaryota, Viridiplantae, Streptophyta, Magnoliopsida, Brassicales, Brassicaceae. The record is from RefSeq and is a predicted model, not a curated record.
AAGGAAGUGGUGAAGAUGCGAUUCAUCAGUCUUUAUCUGUUAAUCAAUCUCCCAAGAGAACACCACGCUUGAAAAAUAUAAGAAUUAUUUGUAACCAUUGAUUUCAGAUUCUAAGCUAUUUAUAUUGUUACUGUUUGUUUGAUUAGGUUACGGGAUUUCUUUUAUAUUUAUAUUCUUGUUUGAUAGAUAGUUUUUUAGGUCCAUGCAUGGAAUCAACAAAACAAUGGAUUCAAAGUCGGAUCAAAGCUCAUGAUCCACACCCAAAGCAAGGCUCACGAUUCGGCUGUACGAACUUUUCUUUCACCAUCGUUAAUUAGGUUUAUCCCGUAUCCAGAAUUUCUAAUGGCUUUGAUACUAUAUCUGUUGAAGCAGAAAAUAACAUAAUAGAUAUUUUAAUGGAACAAAAAAUAUAGAGUUGAAAAUCGAACCAAACUCUUUCGGUCACAAAGGUCCCAAGAGCAUUUCACAUUUUCUUGAUUCAAUCCCUGCUACAUACAUGUAAUCACACAAAGUAAAUAGGCAUUAUCUAUGAUGAUUGAUGCCAAACUAUAUAAUUAUGAUUGACUCAUACGAAGUAGCCAUUUUUUUAUUGUUUUUGCCAGAGACGGAGAGACUGUUUGCAAAGUUUGAGUUGCUGAAGGUUAUUGGUUGAAGCAGGCAUCAAUGUUACCAUACGCAGGUCUAUCUUAAGAUUUGAUCCUCUGUAAUUUUGGAUUUUAAAGCUAUUGGAAGCUGAGAUUUUUUACUCGCGUUCCACUUUGGAUAGAACCAGACCGGAGAACGCCGGCGUCGCAAGUUCAUCGAUCGGAGAACGCCGACCAUCGUCUCCUCCACUGCUACCGCUGCUGAAGGGAAAAAUAUUUGGGGAUUCGGUUUUUACUUUGAAUUUGGUAUGAAUUAGGUUCUUAUUCAAUCAGCUCUGUUCAUUGUAUUUGAUUGUCUCUCACAUGUUUCAAUCAGCUCAGUAUUUGAUGUGAAAUCGAAACUUUUGACUUCUCAUCUCUUUAGAAAUUAGCUUGACCUUGUUGUUUUAUGAGCUAACAUCUGAUUUUUAGUGUUGAGUGAAGCAUGAAGCUUGAUUCGUUGGUC